RNAcentral lists this long non-coding RNA (1329 nucleotides) under Trifolium pratense (red clover). RNAcentral describes it as "long non-coding RNA (TPRA_LNC002221)". The record is from RNAcentral. Lineage: Eukaryota; Viridiplantae; Streptophyta; Magnoliopsida; Fabales; Fabaceae.
GAAAUUUCAACUAGCAAAAUAGCAAGAAAAGUUUAAUCUAGAACCAAAGGACAUAGCAAGCAAUGUGUGCCUUAAAGUGGAGUCAUUACCUCUGAACUUCUUCUGAGAACAACCUAUCAGACUUGCAUUUUAACAUUCCAUUGAACUUGAAGGAAGAAAAUAAAUUUUUUAGAGAGGAUGACGACCGAAGAUUUUUGACCACCUCCUAACAAGCGGUUGCGCUCAUGUUAGGUUUACUCUCAAACACAUGAAUCUCAAUAACUCCUAGAACCUCAAUAGGCUUCUUAUAAACUGAUAAGAUAAAAAAAAUAAGAGAAUAAUAACAAUAAGUUUUCUACUUUAAAAAAAAUAAUGAGUUUUCUUAUAGAAUCACCUAACCAAUAAUUUCAACUUUCAAUUAAGUAGUACAAACCUAAAAAUAUUGAUAAAUAAAGAGCUAUAUAAUCUCCCCAUGUGAUAACAAGCUGCAGAGUAUAAUGUUAUGUUAUAGAUGCACCCUUGUUGAACCCUUCAGUCCUAACUUUCAUUGUCACAUAAUGAAGAAAACAACUCAUCAUUCAAAAAGGAGAUCUAUAAAAUUGGAACCCUAAGCAAUGGAACCACAAAAAUUGAAUAACAAAAUUCUGAAAUUCAGAUAUUCCAUAAAAACGUGAAAGUUUAGGUCAUCGGGAUAGAGUUUAAUAUCUUCACAAUAGAAAGAAAAAACACUGAAACAAAAAUAGAUACAAAAUGCAAAGAAACAAGUCUUUGAACAAAUAGAUACAUAAGUGGCCAAUAACUAAACAAAAUCCAAAAACACCAAACCACAAAACACCCCAACAAGAACCACACCAGUGCAGAACUAUAAAUCAAACUACAAAACUACCAACAACACAACAGAACUACAACAAAAAUUGUCCCUAAGAAGCAAAGAAACAAUCUAGAAAAAACACAACAGAUCGAGGACCACAAUGAAACAGUUCCAACAACGAUUUGAAAGCAUGCUCAAAGGGAAGGAAGAAGAAGGGGAAAACAAACCUGAACGUGUAUCAGGACGGCAACGAUUUCUCCACGACAACAAUUUUUGGAAUUGGAACGAUAAUGAUGUUCAAGAGAAUGGUUUCUCUUUGGAGACAUCGGUGAAGAGGUUGGAGAGAACGAGAUCGCCGAGAGUGAUUUAGGGAUUUACGGUGAAGAGAACGAUUGAAGACACUGGAGAUCAUGUUUUAGGGAUUUAGGGAUUUGUGAUAGUGUGAGUGAGUUUUGAUAAAUCGUGUUAGGUAGUGAUUUUUUUUUUCUUCUUUUUUUUGCAAAAGCCAAAACAUUGCAACUGUUCACUUAACUGUCGCA